This is a small nucleolar RNA of Cottoperca gobio, 69 nucleotides long. The record is from Ensembl. Lineage: Eukaryota; Metazoa; Chordata; Actinopteri; Perciformes; Bovichtidae.
UUGGAGAUGAUGCAUCAUAAAACAUCUGACUACCAGUGAUGGUGUUUGUAUUCAUACUGUCUGAUCCAG